GCAAGUGCCGUAAAACUCUUACUAAAAAAAAAAAAGAACUUGAUUCUUUGAGAAAUAAUUUUUCUUCUCCUGUGUAGUUUGACCCUGUCAGAGGACUGGCCUUUGGAGGGAUUACCUAUCUGCCCUGGAAAGGUCGUUCAGCUCAUACUGUGCCCUAUAAUUCCAAUUGUAUUAACAAUUUUUGCAGACUCAAGAGUUACCAGGAGUUGUGGGUGCACCGUUAGCUCAGUUAGUACCCUGGAUCGAAUCCUCAAUGGGGUGUUCUGAACCGGGAGGGGGGGGGGGUAAUGAGAGUUUUGAAGGCUCUCAAACGACUAAGCUUCAUCCUAUCAGAAAUGAACACUACAUUCGGAUGUCCCGCCUCUUAAAAAUAACUGUGCAGUGUUGAAAGGCGUGUUAAACCUAUAUAUAUGCAUACAAUUUUUAUUUCCAGGAGUCAUUAAUUUCGAGUAACUGAAUUUUUAAGAAAUUGAACUUAAAAACUUAACGCAAUGUUUUAAAAACAAGAUUGCCAACAUAUUGUUCCUUAAAAAUCAAGAGGAUAGGUGAAGGUAGUUUCUUGGGUUUGGCCUUGGGGAAAAAUAAAUUGUUUUAUAUUAUAAGUGUAUGGAGAAAGGUGGAGAUCUAAAAAUUUUUUUUAUGUAUCUUUGAGAAAAUUGUAGUGUUUUAGAAAGGGAGACCACAAUGUUUACACUUGUGGACAUAACUAGGAAGGAAUUGCUGUUUCAUUUAUUGCUCCUUUUGGGCUUUUUUCCUGAUGUUCUUUUCCGAAGUGAGCAUGCUAGGAUGUUUCUUACAGAGAGAAAAUUCGAUUCUUGUCAAAGUAAACUAAUGUGGCUUCAUUUUCCAUUUUCCUGAGCAGCUUGAAAAAUUAAAAAAUGCAGGUAAGAAAAAACAAAAACUGGUUACCUCUACCGGAGGAAGUUGUGGACUUAAGUAUCGGGUGGUACCUAUGAUGAGUUUGACAAUGAAUUAGUCACAGUUUAUUAUAGUAGCAUAUUUACUGUUUUGAAUGAUAAAAUUUCAAAAUUUCAUUUUCUUUUUCCUUCUCAUAGUAACUUGAACUGUCACUGUCAGUCUUGGCUCUGAAUUGGUUUUUAUUAAACCCAAUUUAGAAGCCUUUCUCUGAGGGCAAGCAGACAAGUUGAGUGGAUGUUGCAGUUUAAUGACGUCAUCACCCUAUUGGGUUUGAGAUGAGAAAAGAGGACUAGGGAAGACCCUAUUGCAUCUCCAACUCCAAGGCGGCACAUCCAGUGAGGGAAAUCUACUUCACAGGAGAGCUGUUGGAGUGGAAAAACUGUCAAGACUGCGAACAUGUACAUGUACCAUGGGGCUUUCACAAAGCUGAAUAAAUGUUGUCAAGAUGUUUUUCAGGUCACCCGUGCUGUCAGUCGUGAAUACAUGAAGGCCCUACUUCAAACCCUCUGAAGACUCCGAGGAAAAAUUGCCUUCUUUCAUACAAAGUGAUACACCCCAUUGUCAAAAAUAGAAAAUAAAGUACCUUUUUUGUUUCCUAUUUUGGUAACUGAAUUUU
Molecule: long non-coding RNA, 1534 nt
Organism: Aplysia californica (California sea hare)
Lineage: Eukaryota; Metazoa; Mollusca; Gastropoda; Aplysiida; Aplysiidae
Exons: 2
Source: RefSeq, a predicted model, not a curated record